RNAcentral lists this ribosomal RNA (257 nucleotides) under uncultured prokaryote. RNAcentral describes it as "partial 16S ribosomal RNA". It matches the Rfam family "Bacterial small subunit ribosomal RNA", at positions 524 to 780 of the family's 1533-position model. The record is from RNAcentral.
UACGGAGGAUGCGAGCGUUAUCCGGAUUUAUUGGGUUUAAAGGGUGCGUAGGCGGCUUAGUAAGUCAGCGGUGAAAUUUUGCAGCUUAACUGUAACAGUGCCGUUGAUACUGCCAGGCUAGGAUUUGGUUGCUGUGGGUGGAAUGUGUGGUGUAGCGGUGAAAUGCAUAGAUAUUACACAGAACACCGAUUGCGAAGGCAGCUUACCAAUCCAUCAUUGACGCUGAGGCACGAAAGCGUGGGGAUCAAACAGGAUUA